GGGCCCGUGGCUUAGACUGGUUAUAGCGCCGCUCUGAUAAGGCGGAAGCCGGGUGUUCAAAUCACCCCGGGCCCACCA
This 78-nucleotide transfer RNA is filed under the name Promethearchaeota archaeon. RNAcentral's name for it is "Candidatus Lokiarchaeota archaeon (microbial mat metagenome) tRNA-Ile". It matches the Rfam family "tRNA". Rfam says of the family: Transfer RNA (tRNA) molecules are approximately 80 nucleotides in length. The record is from RNAcentral. RNAcentral also lists the same sequence under 2 other names. Lineage: Archaea; Promethearchaeati; Promethearchaeota.